RNAcentral lists this non-coding RNA (74 nucleotides) under unclassified sequences. The record is from RNAcentral.
AGCCGAUAUAUGUUCCCUGAAGUGGUGGGAAUGUCUCUACCGCAGUACCCGAAAACCAACUGCGAAUAUCGAGC